AUGAACGCUGGCGGCGUGCCUAAUACAUGCAAGUCGAGCGAACAGACGAGGAGCUUGCUCCUCUGACGUUAGCGGCGGACGGGUGAGUAACACGUGGAUAACCUACCUAUAAGACUGGGAUAACUUCGGGAAACCGGAGCUAAUACCGGAUAAUAUAUUGAACCGCAUGGUUCAAUAGUGAAAGACGGUUUUGCUGUCACUUAUAGAUGGAUCCGCGCCGCAUUAGCUAGUUGGUAAGGUAUCGGCUUACCAAGGCAACGAUGCGUAGCCGACCUGAGAGGGUGAUCGGCCACACUGGAACUGAGACACGGUCCAGACUCCUACGGGAGGCAGCAGUAGGGAAUCUUCCGCAAUGGGCGAAAGCUUGACGGAGCAACGCCGCGUGAGUGAUGAAGGUCUUCGGAUCGUAAAACUCUGUUAUUAGGGAAGAACAAAUGUGUAAGUAACUAUGCACGUCUUGACGGUACCUAAUCAGAAAGCCACGGCUAACUACGUG
Molecule: ribosomal RNA, 496 nt
Filed under: uncultured bacterium
Lineage: Bacteria
Description: partial 16S ribosomal RNA
Rfam family: Bacterial small subunit ribosomal RNA
Source: RNAcentral